GUUGAACGCUGGCGGCAUGCCUUACACAUGCAAGUCGAACGGUAACGGGCCUUCGGGUGCCGACGAGUGGCGAACGGGGGCGGAAUACAUCGGAACGUGCCCGAUCGUGGGGGAUAACGGGGCGCAAGGUUUGCUAAUACCGCAUACGAGCUACGAAAGAGAACCGGGGACCGCAAGGCUUAACGCGGGCGGAGCGGCCGAUGGCAGAUUAGUUAGUUGGUGGGGUAAAAGCUUACCAAGCCGACGAUCAGUAGCGGGCCUGAGAGGAUGAUCGGCCACACUGGGACUGAGACACGGCCCAGACUCCUACGGGAGGCAGCAGUGGGGAAUUUUGGACAAUGGGCGCAAGCCUGAUCCAGCCAUGCCGCGUGAAGGAUGAAGGCCUUCGGGUUGUAAACUGCUUUUGUACGGAACGAAAAGCCUUCUUUUAAUCCAGGCGGGUCAUGACGGUACCGUAAGAAUAAGCACCGGCUAACUACGUG
RNAcentral lists this ribosomal RNA (482 nucleotides) under uncultured bacterium. Its description in RNAcentral is "partial 16S ribosomal RNA". It matches the Rfam family "Bacterial small subunit ribosomal RNA", at positions 28 to 507 of the family's 1533-position model. The record is from RNAcentral.